This 253-nucleotide ribosomal RNA is filed under the name uncultured bacterium. Its description in RNAcentral is "partial 16S ribosomal RNA". It matches the Rfam family "Bacterial small subunit ribosomal RNA", at positions 524 to 776 of the family's 1533-position model. The record is from RNAcentral.
UACGUAGGAGGCAAGCGUUGUCCGGAAUUACUGGGCGUAAAGCGCGUGUAGGUGGUGGGACAAGUCUGCUGUGAAAGCGCCUGGCUUAACCGGGCGAGGUCGGCGGAAACUGUCCGACUUGAGGACGGUAGAGGGGGGUGGAAUUCCCGGUGUAGUGGUGAAAUGCGUAGAGAUCGGGAGGAACACCUGUGGCGAAGGCGGCCCCCUGGGCCGGCCCUGACACUGAGACGCGAAGGCGUGGGGAGCGAACGGG